RNAcentral lists this long non-coding RNA (783 nucleotides) under Homo sapiens (human). RNAcentral's name for it is "HSALNT0274018". Lineage: Eukaryota; Metazoa; Chordata; Mammalia; Primates; Hominidae. The record is from RNAcentral.
UAGAUUAAUCUGCGUUCAUCGAAGAUUUUCAUCAUUUCCUUGAGUCUAGAUAAUCAAUAAGACGAUAAAAUCAAGCCUCGAUUUGUAGCACAUGCUGAUUUCCGUGACGUAAAUGCUCUUGCGAUGGUUGGUUCAAGCUGUGGACACGACGAAGCUCAAUGCAGAGACCGGUGUGCCCUAGCAAACCUCCUGUUACACAGGAUUUCUGCCAUACAGAUGCAACAGAGCCGUUCCCCACUGGGCUCUCAGAAGCCGGCGUGAGCUGACUCCAGCACCUGUCCCUGCCAGCAGGGACGACUCCAGGAGGACUGCCAGGCCAAGACACAGAAAGGCCAUAGAGAGCACACAUCUGAAUGCGUCAACCCCGGCUGAAGCCCUUUCUGCCUCCUAAUCCUGGAACCUGUGACUCGGUUGCCUUACCUGGCAAAGUGAAUUAAGGCAUCAGGUGGAAUGAAAAUUGCUAAUCUACUGACCUUAACAUCAGGAGUUUAUUUUGGAUUAUCCUGGUAGGCCCAAAGUGAUCACCAAGAUCCUUAAAUGUGAAAGAGGAGGCGGAAGAGGAGCUCAGGGGAUGAGAUGUGAGAAGGCCUCCACGCCAGUGCUGCCUUUGAAGAGGGAGGAGGGGCCGAGGGUCAAGGCCUCAGGGCAGCUCUAGAAGCCGGGAAAGGCAAGAAGUGGACUCUCCCUAAACCCAGCCUCUGGGAGGAACCAGCCCUGCAGUACCUUGAUUUUAGCUCAAGGAGACCUGUGUUGGACUUCAAUCUCUAGACCUUUAAGAGAAUA